This 117-nucleotide non-coding RNA is filed under the name Bacillus methanolicus MGA3. The record is from RNAcentral. Lineage: Bacteria; Bacillati; Bacillota; Bacilli; Caryophanales; Bacillaceae.
AUACAUGUACUCCAACAAUAAUAGAAACAAUUGGAUAGUAGCGAAUAAAUUCACGAAAACUUUCUGUUCUUGUAAACAUACUGAACCUCCCACAGGACGAUACAAACAUCAUAGCCU